AACGAACGCUGGCGGCAUGCCUAACACAUGCAAGUCGAACGAAACCUUCGGGUCUAGUGGCGCACGUGUGCGUAACGCGGGGGAACCUGCCCUUAGGUUCGGAAUCACUCCCCUAGAGGGGUGCUAAUACCGGAUAAUGUCUUCGGACCAAAGAUUUAUCGCCUUUGGGUGGGCCCGGGUUGGAUUCGCUAGUUGGUAGGGUAAAAGCCUACCAAGGCGACGAUCCAUAGCUGGUCUGAGAGGAUGAUCCGCCACGCUGGGACUGAGACACGGCCCAGACUCCUACGGGAGGGAGCAGUAGGGAAUAUAGGACGAUGGGCGAAAGUCUGAUCCAGCAAUGCCGGGUGAGUGGUGAAGGCCUUAGGGUUGUAAAGCUCUUUUACCCGGGAUGAUAAUGACGGUACCGGGAGAAUAAGCACCGGCUAACUCCGUG
RNAcentral lists this ribosomal RNA (433 nucleotides) under uncultured bacterium. RNAcentral's name for it is "partial 16S ribosomal RNA". It matches the Rfam family "Bacterial small subunit ribosomal RNA", at positions 29 to 507 of the family's 1533-position model. The record is from RNAcentral.